GAAACAAUUGCUUAAAGGCUCUCUCUGUUGGUUGAUUGCUAACUUGAUGACCCUCGAUCAACUUUUAACUUGAUCAACCAAGUGAUUCUUUCCAUAUUUAAUGGGUUAACUAGUUUCCUAACUACUCCAAAGAAAUGGUUAAUAGGAAAUAAUAUUUAAAUUAUGUCAAUAUUCCUCUUGCCAAAUAUAAAAUUUAUGUUCCUGGAUAGCAUAAACCAUCCAAAACCUUUAUAAAAUUAUUAUGAUGGAAUAACAAGUAGUAUUUGCCCAAGUUAGCACAUAAUAAUGAUACUAAAUAAUUGUUAUUAUGUUAUUAUGCGGCUAGUGGGA
RNAcentral lists this long non-coding RNA (330 nucleotides) under Elaeis guineensis (African oil palm). RNAcentral's name for it is "long non-coding RNA (EGUI_LNC082154)". Lineage: Eukaryota; Viridiplantae; Streptophyta; Magnoliopsida; Arecales; Arecaceae. The record is from RNAcentral.